RNAcentral lists this long non-coding RNA (202 nucleotides) under Homo sapiens (human). Its description in RNAcentral is "non-protein coding lnc-MMP10-2:1". Lineage: Eukaryota; Metazoa; Chordata; Mammalia; Primates; Hominidae. The record is from RNAcentral.
GCCCAGAUGUGGAGUGCCUGAUGUGGCUCAGUUUGUCCUCACUGAGGGGAACCCUCGCUGGGAGCAAACACAUCUGACCUACAGAUUGAAAAUUACACGCCAGAUUUGCCAAGAGCAGAUGUGGACCAUGCCAUUGAGAAAGCCUUCCAACUCUGGAGUAAUGUCACACCUCUGACAUUCACCAAGGUCUCUGAGGGUCAAG